CCUACGGGUGGCAGCAGUGAGGAAUAUUGGUCAAUGGCCGGAAGGCUGAACCAGCCAAGCCGCGUGAAGGACGAAGGUGCCAAGCAUUGUAAACUUCUUUUGUCAAGGGACAAAAUCAGGCUCGAGAGCCUGACCGAGGGUACUUGAAGAAAAAGCAUCGGCUAACUCCGUGCCAGCAGCCGCGGUAAUACGGAGGAUGCGAGCGUUAUCCGGAUUUAUGGGGUUUAAAGGGUGCGUAGGCGGACUGUUAAGUCAGCGGUAAAAGCCCGGGGCUCACCCCCGGCGAGCAGUUGAGACUGGCUGUCUUGAGAUGUCGAGAGGUAUGCGGAAUGCGCCGUGUAGCGGUGAAAUGCUUAGAUAUUGCGCAGAACUCCGAUUGCGAAGGCAGCAUACCGGCGGCGAUCUGACGCUGAGGCACGAAAGCGUGGGUAUCGAACAGGAUUAGAUACCCCAGUAGUC
Molecule: ribosomal RNA, 459 nt
Filed under: uncultured bacterium
Lineage: Bacteria
Description: partial 16S ribosomal RNA
Rfam family: Bacterial small subunit ribosomal RNA
Source: RNAcentral